CCUCUUAAAUUUUCUAAUGCUGCUGUGCAGAGCUGACAUGUCAAGCCCUAGGAGUUUACCCUUGUUGUUCCGCAUCUUUAUCAACAACUCAGUCUCUAUCCAGGGUUAGAAGUGCAACACACAUAACAGCUUAUACCCCAAAGAGCAUCGAGUUGAAGUGCACAAGUGGAUCCCACAAAAUAAAAGGCAAAUGAUGGGGGAAGAGUGGCUGCAAGAGAGGUAAAGGAACAGAUGUCAGAAAUUUUUUUGGAGGAGGAGAGACCAGGAAAAACAGCACAGCCUUAAGAAAGACCUGAAGGUCAACAAUUUGAACAG
Non-coding RNA from Cyanistes caeruleus (blue tit), 315 nucleotides. NCBI's taxonomy places the organism in Eukaryota, Metazoa, Chordata, Aves, Passeriformes, Paridae. The record is from RefSeq and is a predicted model, not a curated record.